Molecule: ribosomal RNA, 471 nt
Filed under: uncultured bacterium
Lineage: Bacteria
Description: bacterial SSU rRNA
Rfam family: Bacterial small subunit ribosomal RNA
Source: RNAcentral
GGCCAGACUCCUACGGGAGGCAGCAGUGGGGAAUAUUGCGCAAUGGGCGAAAGCCUGACGCAGCGACGCCGCGUGAGGGAUGAAGGUCUUCGGAUCGUAAACCUCUGUCAGCAGGGAAGAACGGUCACUGUGCUAAUCAGCAGUGAAUUGACGGUACCUGACUAAGAAGCCCCGGCUAACUACGUGCCAGCAGCCGCGGUAAUACGUAGGGGGCAAGCGUUAUCCGGAUUUACUGGGUGUAAAGGGAGUGUAGGUGGCAUAACAAGUCAGAAGUGAAAGCCCGGGGCUCAACCGCGGGACUGCUUUUGAAACUGUUAAGCUUGAGUGCAGGAGAGGUAAGCGGAAUUCCUAGUGUAGCGGUGAAAUGCGUAGAUAUUAGGAGGAACACCAGUGGCGAAGGCGGCUUACUGGACUGUAACUGACACUGAGGCUCGAAAGCGUGGGGAGCAAACAGGAUUAGAUACCCUUGUA